Small nuclear RNA from Cavia aperea (Brazilian guinea pig), 125 nucleotides. The record is from Ensembl. Lineage: Eukaryota; Metazoa; Chordata; Mammalia; Rodentia; Caviidae.
ACGUUGUAUGAAAGGAGAGAAGGUUAGCACUCCUGUCGACAAGGAUGAAAGAGGGCCUUGGCCUGACAACACACACAUGGGUAAGGCACUGCCGCCCACUUCGUGGCAUCUAACCAAUAAUCAAA